UACAGAGGGGGCAAGCGUUGUUCGGAAUUACUGGGCGUAAAGGGCGCGUAGGCGGCCUUCUAAGUCGAACGUGAAAUCCCCGGGCUCAACCCGGGAACUGCGUCCGAGACUGGAAGGCUCGAAUCCGGGAGAGGGAUGUGGAAUUCCAGGUGUAGCGGUGAAAUGCGUAGAUAUCUGGAGGAACACCGGUGGCGAAGGCGGCCUUCUGGACGAUGACUGACGCUGAGACGCGAAAGCGUGGGGAGCAAACAGG
RNAcentral lists this ribosomal RNA (253 nucleotides) under uncultured bacterium. Its description in RNAcentral is "partial 16S ribosomal RNA". It matches the Rfam family "Bacterial small subunit ribosomal RNA", at positions 524 to 776 of the family's 1533-position model. The record is from RNAcentral.